This 1489-nucleotide ribosomal RNA is filed under the name Lactiplantibacillus plantarum. RNAcentral's name for it is "bacterial SSU rRNA". It matches the Rfam family "Bacterial small subunit ribosomal RNA". The record is from RNAcentral. Lineage: Bacteria; Bacillati; Bacillota; Bacilli; Lactobacillales; Lactobacillaceae.
GACGAACGCUGGCGGCGUGCCUAAUACAUGCAAGUCGAACGAACUCUGGUAUUGAUUGGUGCUUGCAUCAUGAUCUACAUUUGAGUGAGUGGCGAACUGGUGAGUAACACGUGGGAAACCUGCCCAGAAGCGGGGGAUAACACCUGGAAACAGAUGCUAAUACCGCAUAACAACUUGGACCGCAUGGUCCGAGUUUGAAAGAUGGCUUCGGCUAUCACUUUUGGAUGGUCCCGCGGCGUAUUAGCUAGAUGGUGAGGUAACGGCUCACCAUGGCAAUGAUACGUAGCCGACCUGAGAGGGUAAUCGGCCACAUUGGGACUGAGACACGGCCCAAACUCCUACGGGAGGCAGCAGUAGGGAAUCUUCCACAAUGGACGAAAGUCUGAUGGAGCAACGCCGCGUGAGUGAAGAAGGGUUUCGGCUCGUAAAACUCUGUUGUUAAAGAAGAACAUAUCUGAGAGUAACUGUUCAGGUAUUGACGGUAUUUAACCAGAAAGCCACGGCUAACUACGUGCCAGCAGCCGCGGUAAUACGUAGGUGGCAAGCGUUGUCCGGAUUUAUUGGGCGUAAAGCGAGCGCAGGCGGUUUUUUAAGUCUGAUGUGAAAGCCUUCGGCUCAACCGAAGAAGUGCAUCGGAAACUGGGAAACUUGAGUGCAGAAGAGGACAGUGGAACUCCAUGUGUAGCGGUGAAAUGCGUAGAUAUAUGGAAGAACACCAGUGGCGAAGGCGGCUGUCUGGUCUGUAACUGACGCUGAGGCUCGAAAGUAUGGGUAGCAAACAGGAUUAGAUACCCUGGUAGUCCAUACCGUAAACGAUGAAUGCUAAGUGUUGGAGGGUUUCCGCCCUUCAGUGCUGCAGCUAACGCAUUAAGCAUUCCGCCUGGGGAGUACGGCCGCAAGGCUGAAACUCAAAGGAAUUGACGGGGGCCCGCACAAGCGGUGGAGCAUGUGGUUUAAUUCGAAGCUACGCGAAGAACCUUACCAGGUCUUGACAUACUAUGCAAAUCUAAGAGAUUAGACGUUCCCUUCGGGGACAUGGAUACAGGUGGUGCAUGGUUGUCGUCAGCUCGUGUCGUGAGAUGUUGGGUUAAGUCCCGCAACGAGCGCAACCCUUAUUAUCAGUUGCCAGCAUUAAGUUGGGCACUCUGGUGAGACUGCCGGUGACAAACCGGAGGAAGGUGGGGAUGACGUCAAAUCAUCAUGCCCCUUAUGACCUGGGCUACACACGUGCUACAAUGGAUGGUACAACGAGUUGCGAACUCGCGAGAGUAAGCUAAUCUCUUAAAGCCAUUCUCAGUUCGGAUUGUAGGCUGCAACUCGCCUACAUGAAGUCGGAAUCGCUAGUAAUCGCGGAUCAGCAUGCCGCGGUGAAUACGUUCCCGGGCCUUGUACACACCGCCCGUCACACCAUGAGAGUUUGUAACACCCAAAGUCGGUGGGGUAACCUUUUAGGAACCAGCCGCCUAAGGUGGGACAGAUGAUUAGGGUG